AUCUGUUGGAGUUGUGGUUAGUGCGCUUGGCUGAGGAUCAGGGUGAUGCGGGUUCGAUUCCCUCACCAGAUG
Non-coding RNA from Dallia pectoralis (Alaska blackfish), 72 nucleotides. The record is from the annotation of a GenBank genome assembly. Lineage: Eukaryota; Metazoa; Chordata; Actinopteri; Esociformes; Umbridae.